This 23-nucleotide non-coding RNA is filed under the name Arabidopsis thaliana (thale cress). Lineage: Eukaryota; Viridiplantae; Streptophyta; Magnoliopsida; Brassicales; Brassicaceae. The record is from RNAcentral.
UACAUCUUCUAGAGACGAGAGCC